This 76-nucleotide transfer RNA is filed under the name Patescibacteria group bacterium. RNAcentral's name for it is "tRNA-Val". It matches the Rfam family "tRNA". Rfam says of the family: Transfer RNA (tRNA) molecules are approximately 80 nucleotides in length. Their secondary structure includes four short double-helical elements and three loops (D, anti-codon, and T loops). RNAcentral also lists the same sequence under 1 other name. The record is from RNAcentral.
GGGUCUGUGGCUCAGUUGGUAGAGCGCUCGGUUUACAUCCGAAAGGUCGCAGGUUCGAGUCCUGCCAGACCCACCA